This 1211-nucleotide ribosomal RNA is filed under the name metagenome. RNAcentral's name for it is "bacterial SSU rRNA". It matches the Rfam family "Bacterial small subunit ribosomal RNA", at positions 298 to 1498 of the family's 1533-position model. The record is from RNAcentral.
GGGUGACCGGCCACACUGGGACUGAGAUACGGCCCAGACUCCUACGGGAGGCAGCAGUAGGGAAUAUUGCACAAUGGGCGCAAGCCUGAUGCAGCAACGCCGCGUGGACGAUGAAGCUCCUUGGAGUGUAAAGUCCUGUCAGUGGGGACGAACCGCACCGGAAGGAAAUGACCGGUGCCUGACUGUACCUGCAGAGGAAGUUCCGGCUAACUCCGUGCCAGCAGCCGCGGUAACACGGGGGGAACGAGCGUUGUUCGGAUUUACUGGGCGUAAAGGGCACGUAGGCGGAAAGGCAAGUCAGAUGUGAAACCCCGGGGCUUAACCGCGGGCCUGCAUUUGAAACUGUCUUUCUUGAGUACGGGAGAGGAUGGCGGAAUUCCUGGUGUAGCGGUGAAAUGCGUAGAUAUCAGGAAGAACACCGGUGGCGAAGGCGACCAUCUGGACCGAUACUGACGCUAAGGUGCGAAGGCCGGGGGAGCAAACAGGAUUAGAUACCCUGGUAGUCCCGGCGGUAAACGAUGGGUACUAGGUGUUGGGGGUAUCGACCCCCCCAGUGCCGCAGCUAACGCAUUAAGUACCCCGCCUGGGGAGUACGGCCGCAAGGUUGAAACUCAAAGGAAUUGACGGGGGCCCGCACAAGCGGUGGAGUAUGUGGUUUAAUUCGACGCAACGCGAAGAACCUUACCUGGGCUUGACAUGCUUGGGAAAGCUACAGAGAUGUAGCCCCCUCCUUCGGGAGGUCCUUGCACAGGUGCUGCAUGGCUGUCGUCAGCUCGUGCCGUGAGGUGUUGGGUUAAGUCCCGCAACGAGCGCAACCCUUGUUCCUAGUUGCCAUUCGUUAACUCGAGGAACUCUAGGAAGACUGCCGGCGACAAGCCGGAGGAAGGUGGGGAUGACGUCAAGUCCUCAUGGCCCUUACGUCCAGGGCUACACACGUACUACAAUGGUCGGUACAGAGGGUCGCAAGCCCGCAAGGUGGAGCCAAUCCCUAAAACCGGCCUCAGUUCAGAUCGGAGUCUGUAACUCGACUCCGUGAAGUUGGAAUCGCUAGUAAUCGCGCAUCAGCAUGGCGCGGUGAAUACGUUCCCGGGCCUUGUACACACCGCCCGUCAAGCCAUGGGAGCCGGGGGUACCCGAAGCCGUUGAUCUAACCGCAAGGAGGACAACGUCGAAGGUAAAAUCGGUGACUGGGGCUAAGUCGAAACAAGGUA